AGUGAACGCUGGCGGUAGGCCUAACACAUGCAAGUCGAACGGCAGCACAGUAAGAGCUUGCUCUUACGGGUGGCGAGUGGCGGACGGGUGAGGAAUACAUCGGAAUCUACUUUUUCGUGGGGGAUAACGUAGGGAAACUUACGCUAAUACCGCAUACGACCUACGGGUGAAAGCAGGGGAUCUUCGGACCUUGCGCGAUCGAAUGAGCCGAUGUCGGAUUAGUUAGUUGGCGGGGUAAAGGCCCACCAAGGCGACGAUCCGUAGCUGGUCUGAGAGGAUGAUGAGCCACACUGGAACUGGGACACGGUCCAGACUCCUACGGGAGGCAGCAGUGGGGAAUAUUGGACAAUGGGCGCAAGCCUGAUCCAGCCAUACCGCGUGGGUGAAGAAGGCCUUCGGGUUGUAAAGCCCUUUUGUUGGGAAAGAAGAGCAGCAGGUUAAUACCCCGCUGUUCUGACGGUACCCAAAGAAUAAGCACCGGCUAACUUCGUG
Molecule: ribosomal RNA, 492 nt
Filed under: uncultured bacterium
Lineage: Bacteria
Description: partial 16S ribosomal RNA
Rfam family: Bacterial small subunit ribosomal RNA
Source: RNAcentral